GCAGGUUUCCACCUUACUGUUUGGGCCCACCAUGAACUGUGGCCCCGCCAUGCCAUGCUGCCUUGGAGCCAACUGAGUAUGGACUGAAGCCUCCAAGAACUGUUUCAUGAGUUUCUAUUAGUCCCAAUGUCUACUUGAGGACAGGAUGUGGUUAUAGAUUCUCACAGGUUUUUAAAAUGCCACAGUGAAACCCUGAAUGCUGCCCAUACUUCUCAGGCCAUCCUGGUAUAACCUUCUGUGAAUGGUAGGGCUGUAUCAUGGAGCCUGGAGCCAACGGAGAGGAGAGGGACCAGGUUUUCAAAAUUCAACUGAUAUUAAGCCUGAGUUCACUGACUGUAAGCAACAGAAACCAGGGCUGACUCACAUUGCUGGCAGAGAAGCUGUUGGAAAUCUGCUGCUGAAGGACCACAGUGUUGGUGGGAUGUGAGAGGGACCAGACUUAGAAAGCUGCCAUGAGAUGAGCCACGCUCUCUGCUACAGUGCUCUGCCCUGGGAAGCCCCCAUGAUGUUGGAGUAAUAGAGUCAGCGGACCACGGGCCAAAACUUGUGAAACUGUUGGCUCCGUCGUCCUUUCAGUGUGUCAUCUGGAGCAUGAGGCCUUUCCAGCACAUGAGAAGAGGAAGAGCGAGGAAGAGGCAGCUCACGCUAACCAUUCUGUGCUUUGGCCAGGAAAUGAUGCUUAUGACUUCUGUUCACACACAUUAGCCAAAGCUGGCGCUGGCUUUGUUUAGAUCGGAGUUAGGGAAUCAGGCAUCUGUACCAGUGGGAAGGAAUUAUCAGCUCCCUGUGUCAAAUGUGGAAACUGUGGCCAAAGGUCUGCAACUUACAAAGCAAGAUUAGAAUUUCAAAAGAUUAUCUGCAUGAUCCCCCCAGAAAACCUCCCCUGCUCACGGUUUCCUACUGAAAUCUUGAUACCCAGGGGAUUGAGGAUUGCACCGUCUGCUCUUCUGCUAACCGGCUGAGCCCCUGGGCAAAGUUGCUUCACUUUUUCAAGGCUCAGUUACCUGUCAGGGAAAUGGAGACAGCAAUGCACCCUGGCCUGAAUCCGGAACAUUGUGUGAGAAUGAGAAUGAGGUUUGAGGUCAGUGACAGUGAUACAAAGUUCUCAGUAUUGCUGUUCUCUGUGAGAAGUGGGAAAUACACCAUGUGCAAUGAUGCA
Molecule: long non-coding RNA, 1159 nt
Organism: Cavia porcellus (domestic guinea pig)
Lineage: Eukaryota; Metazoa; Chordata; Mammalia; Rodentia; Caviidae
Exons: 7
Source: RefSeq, a predicted model, not a curated record